This is a non-coding RNA of Mycena leptocephala, 88 nucleotides long. The record is from the annotation of a GenBank genome assembly. NCBI's taxonomy places the organism in Eukaryota, Fungi, Basidiomycota, Agaricomycetes, Agaricales, Mycenaceae.
GGCUCGGUGGCGCAUGGGUGCGCCUCUACUGCUUGUAAGAUGCCGAGAAAGUUACGUAGAGACUCCCGUUCGAUUCGGGGUUGGGCCA